This is a long non-coding RNA of Bubalus bubalis (water buffalo), 580 nucleotides long. RefSeq lists it as uncharacterized. The record is from RefSeq and is a predicted model, not a curated record. Lineage: Eukaryota; Metazoa; Chordata; Mammalia; Artiodactyla; Bovidae. The transcript is spliced from 2 exons.
CUACAGUCCAUAGGAUCGCACAGCGUAGGACACGACUGAAGCGAUUUAGCAUGAAAGAGAUGGCACAUAGGAAGAGAUGGCAUCACAGAUUCAGGUGAUGAGAGCUUCUGGGGAGCACGUGGUUCUCUGCUGCUGCCACGUGAAGAGAAGGGAUGUGAAACAGGAUUUUACUGAGUCUCUUGGAAGAUUCCAGCCGUAUUGCUAUUCUCAGCCCUGCCACUCAACCUCACCUCAACCCACCGUAUUAUAUUAUUUACAACCAUCCCAAGUUAGGCCGAGAGAACCUUGUUCCCCUUCACCGGAGAAUCAUGGCAGCCAAGCAGUGGACCCGGAUUUGACGGCAGAACUGGGAUUGGAACCCGGGGGAUCCUGAAGUCAAGUCGAGUGUCCUUCUGUCAUUCUGUAUCUCUGUUGUGGAUAGAAGCCUUCGGACGGUGGCAGCCUAAGUGGAAAAUCGUGCGCUUCAGAGCACAACAGACCCAAGCUGAAAUCUAUGGUCUAUACUAAACUAUGAGAAUGUAGGCAGGUCAUUUACCAACUCUGAAUUUUAUCAUACAAUAAACACAACACCUACUCUAAA